GAUGAACGCUAGCUACAGGCUUAACACAUGCAAGUCGCGGGGCAGCAUGGGGGUUGCUUGCAAUCCCCGAUGGCGGCCGGCGCACGGGUGAGUAACGCGUAUCCAACCUGCCCUUCACCACGGGAUAACCCGGCGAAAGUCGGACUAAUACCGUAUGUUGUCCAUUGACGGCAUCCGAUUUGGACGAAAGGCUUGGCGGUGAGGGAUGGGGAUGCGUCCGAUUAGCCAGACGGCGGGGUAACGGCCCACCGUGGCUACGAUCGGUAGGGGUUCUGAGAGGAAGGUCCCCCACACUGGAACUGAGACACGGUCCAGACUCCUACGGGAGGCAGCAGUGAGGAAUAUUGAUCAAUGGGCGUAAGCCUGAACCAGCCAAGUAGCGUGCAGGAUGACGGCCCUAUGGGUUGUAAACUGCUUUUAUGCGGGGAUAAAGUGGCCCACGUGUGGGCUUUUGCAGGUACCGCAUGAAUAAGGACCGGCUAAUUCCGUG
RNAcentral lists this ribosomal RNA (490 nucleotides) under uncultured bacterium. Its description in RNAcentral is "partial 16S ribosomal RNA". It matches the Rfam family "Bacterial small subunit ribosomal RNA", at positions 28 to 507 of the family's 1533-position model. The record is from RNAcentral.